GCCGAACCCCUAGCGAAGGAGGAGCUGAACUGCCCCUGUAGGUCAGGUGACAAUUUUGUUAGGAGUUUGGUAGACCCUUCAUCCACCGAGGUCCCUUGUACAUACAUGAAUGAGGGUGCAUACAGUGACAUUGUGUAUCCAUCCAUUCUUCCCUGUGCCGGUACAGAGUGCAGCAUUGGACGGACAGAUUUGUAUCGCGCUGUGUGUAUACGGUCGAGUUAGGAGGAUUUGCUCGCACUGUUUGAUUGUGUAUACUUACAAUCUACUAUUAGGUUCAAAGAGCGCGAUAAUUUGUGCUUGUAUGGUGCUCCCGCAUUUCCAGCUAUCUUAACAGAGAUGUAACUUCAACUGCGAAGUGUGUUGUCGUCUGUCACCUUUGUUUUGCUCCUGAAAAACUUUUAACAGAGAUGUAGCUAAAACUGCAAAGUGUGUUGUCGUCUGUCACCUUUGUUUUGCUCCUGAAGAACUUUUAAC
This 474-nucleotide long non-coding RNA is filed under the name Triticum aestivum (bread wheat). RNAcentral describes it as "long non-coding RNA (TAES_LNC026115)". Lineage: Eukaryota; Viridiplantae; Streptophyta; Magnoliopsida; Poales; Poaceae. The record is from RNAcentral.